This 492-nucleotide ribosomal RNA is filed under the name uncultured bacterium. Its description in RNAcentral is "partial 16S ribosomal RNA". It matches the Rfam family "Bacterial small subunit ribosomal RNA", at positions 29 to 507 of the family's 1533-position model. The record is from RNAcentral.
AGUGAACGCUGUCGGUCGGCCUAACACAUUCAAGUUGAACGGCAGCACCAUCAGCGCUUGCUUUUACGUGUGUCGACUGGUGUGUGGGUGACGCAUACCUCGGAAUCUACUUUUUCGUGGGGCAUAACGUCGGCAAACUUCCGCUAAUACCGCAUACGACCUACUGGUGAAAGCAGGGGAUCUUCGCACCUUGCGCGCUUGAAUGUGCCGAUGUCGGAUUAGCUCGUUGGCGGGGUAAAGGCCCACCAAGGCGACGAUCCGUAGCUGGUAUGAGAGGAUGAUCAGCCACACUGGAACUGAGACACGGCCCAGAAUACGACGAGAGGCAGCAGUGUGGAAUAUUUGACAAUGGGCGCAAGCCUGAUACAGCCAUACCGCGUGGGUGAAGAAGGCCUACGGGAGGGAAAGCACUUGUGUUGGGAAAGAAAAGCAGAAGGGUAAAACCUGGCGGUUAUGACGGGACACAAAGAAUAAGCAACGGCUAACUACAUG